This 782-nucleotide long non-coding RNA is filed under the name Homo sapiens (human). Its description in RNAcentral is "HSALNT0372100". Lineage: Eukaryota; Metazoa; Chordata; Mammalia; Primates; Hominidae. The record is from RNAcentral.
AGACAGCAGGAGGGGCUUGCCAGUGCACCUCACAAGAGCUCGCUGCUCUGCGUCAGUGCUGCCAAGGAGCUCCUUCAGGGUUGAGAGAUGAGAGAGCCAAGUCCGUGAUUACUAGAUCUGAGCCCUGGAGGGAAUCGACUGCCAGUUUAAGGAGUCAUUGUCCAGUUCAGACUCCAGAAUACGAAACGUAGAAACUGACAGGAAAUGACCAAGUAUAAAUUGCAACUUGUAAAGAAUCAUCUUAAAUCCUGGCACUGCGUUCAAGGGGGAGUUUGAGCAAGGAAUGUUGCUAAAACGGCUAAAACCAGGAACUCAGAAUAUCGUUCUACAAUAGAACCUAAAAACUGUUUCCAACCCAUCACGACAUCACCCUGAAAAAUGAGUGAGCAGUCACUGAGGCUUCCCAAGUUUGAAAAUUCCACAAGACUGAGAGCAAAUGUUUUGUUGAAACUGAAGUCAAGAUGAAGUCAGCUGACUCUCAAACCUCAGGUGAAGUGACUCAGGGCCCACACCCCGGUUCUGAGGCAGGGACACAUUUUACUUGCAGCACCCUGCAGCUUUGGAUGAGGCUGCAACCCGGGUGAAUCCUGGCCCUGCUAUCACGUGGGCAGCCACUGCAUCCUCCGGAGGCUGUGGAUGGGAGUCACCAUGCUGGGAGGUCUGGAGUAAGAUCUGUGCCAUCUGCCUUGCCCAAUCCUGUACCAGUGCCUGUGUUUCAAAAUCUCAAAAUAAAAGUGAUUAUUCUUGCAACACAUCUAGGUGUACUAAACGAAUACAAAAAA